This 588-nucleotide ribosomal RNA is filed under the name uncultured Rhodocyclaceae bacterium. Its description in RNAcentral is "bacterial SSU rRNA". It matches the Rfam family "Bacterial small subunit ribosomal RNA", at positions 335 to 916 of the family's 1533-position model. RNAcentral also lists the same sequence under 1 other name. The record is from RNAcentral. Lineage: Bacteria; Pseudomonadati; Pseudomonadota; Betaproteobacteria; Rhodocyclales; Rhodocyclaceae.
ACUCCUACGGGAGGCAGCAGUGGGGAAUUUUGGACAAUGGGGGCAACCCUGAUCCAGCCAUGCCGCGUGAGUGAAGAAGGCCUUCGGGUUGUAAAGCUCUUUCGGCCGGAACGAAAUCGCGUACGUGAAUAACGUGCGUGGAUGACGGUACUGGAAGAAGAAGCACCGGCUAACUACGUGCCAGCAGCCGCGGUAAUACGUAGGGUGCGAGCGUUAAUCGGAAUUACUGGGCGUAAAGCGUGCGUAGGCGGUUUUGUAAGUCAGAUGUGAAAUCCCCGGGCUUAACCUGGGAACUGCGUUUGAAACUACAGAGCUAGAGUACGGCAGAGGGGGGUGGAAUUCCACGUGUAGCAGUGAAAUGCGUAGAUAUGUGGAGGAACACCGAUGGCGAAGGCAACCCCCUGGGCCGAUACUGACGCUGAGGCACGAAAGCGUGGGGAGCAAACAGGAUUAGAUACCCUGGUAGUCCACGCCCUAAACUAUGUCAACUAGUUGUCGGGGAAGCAAUUCUUUGGUAACGAAGCUAACGCGUGAAGUUGACCGCCUGGGGAGUACGGUCGCAAGAUUAAAACUCAAAUGAAUUGACGG